CAAGCAACUGAAUGAUGAUCGAUUGAACUGAAUUCCUCCAUCUCCAUUGAAAGCAAGCAUCAGAGCUAAACUUCACCCGCCGCAGAUGCUUCAAUGGUGCAGAAGCUCUGCUCCGUCCGGCGGGACCCACGUCCGGCGCCUCCGUAGCCGACUUCAUCCCUCAAUUGAUCUACUGACUCCUCAUCGGUGGUCCUACCGUAAAACAUUCUCGACUAUGCCUCGGACGACAGCCACAGUCAGUGAAGGUGGCGCCGGUGACCUCCACGCGCCCCGGAGGAGCUACCAGGUCGUGGUGGCGGCGACUCGGGAUAUGGGGAUCGGAAAGGAUGGGAAGUUGCCCUGGAAGCUGCCCCGCGAGCUCAAGUUCUUCAAGGAGCUCACUUCCGCGGUGGCCGAUCCCGGGAGGAACAAGAGGAAUGCGGUCCUGAUGGGUAGGAGAACCUGGGAGAGCAUCCCUCGGCAGUUCCAGCCUCUUCCCGGGCGGUUGAACGUCGUGCUGACUCGGUCCGGAAUCGCUGGAGUCGAGAGCACCGAGGAUGUCCUGCUGGCUGGGAGCGUGAGCUCGGCUCUGGAGUUACUCUCGGCGUCUCCUUAUUGUUCAUCGAUCGAGAGCGUCUUUGUUAUCGGUGGCGGCGAGAUAUUAAGGGAGGCGCUUGAUGCUCAGCUAUGUGAUGCGAUUCACAUUACCGAAAUCGAGACUGACAUCGAUUGCGACACCUACAUCCCUGCUAUCGAUUUGUCCGUUUUCAAGCCGUGGUACUCCUCUUUGCCGGUUGUUGAGAACAAUAUUCGAUAUUCGUUUGUAACGUAUAUUCGCGUGAGAAAUUCCCCUAUAUUAGAAUCUCAACCGCUCAGUGGCAUAGAGAAGUUCAAUGUGGAGUGCUUCUCGUUUCUCCCAAAGAUGAUCCUUGAGAGACAUGACGAGUUUGCGUACCUUAAGCUGGUUCAGGAAGUCCUAUCAAGUGGGACUCGAAAAGUCGAUAGGACAGGUACUGGCCUUAUGUCGAAAUUCGGUCUUCAGAUGAGGUUCAAUCUUCGGAAAUCUUUUCCUCUUCUUACAACAAAGAGGCUAUGUUGGCAAUGGACCGUAGACGAAUUUCUGAAGUUCAUUAGCGGCUCAACCAACGUGAAGUUGUAUGAUGCUAUCGACAAGAUUAUGUCCUGUACAGACGAUCAAGGGAUCAUCCUCUUGAGCUACAAUCCAUUGUCAGAUACCCAGUCAGACUCUGCUGGCCUCCCAUAUUGUCCCUUAGUCGCUCAGUUUCCAUUGUGCAGUUUUACGUGUCCAAUGGAGAAGUGUCCUGUCAAGCGUACCAGGAAUCAGUUGAUGUUGCCCUGGAUCUUCCAUAUAGCAUUGCAUCGUGUGCUUUGUUGACUUGUACCAUCGCUCAUUUUUGUGGCCUUCGUUCCAGUGAUCUAAUCCAAGCAGUAGGAGAUGCUUAUGUUUCUGACUGUCACAUCCUACCUCUGCAGGAGCAACUUGAGCGACUGCCCCGCCCUUUCCCAUCUUUAAAGAUUGAUGGCCGGGGGAAGGAUAUCGGCUCGCUCACAGCAAUUGAUUUCGAACUUAUGGACUAUCAUCCUUGCUCCUGAAGAGGGUACAGGUUGCUUACGGAGAUCUGAAGACUGCAUAAAGCUUGGAAAUCUAACAGAUACUGGCCUAUUGAAGAAGAAGAAUUUUCGCUCACAGCAAUUGAUUUCGAACUUAUGGCUUCGAAUUUUAUUUUGCUGUGAUUAUGAAAUAACAUCAGAUGAAAGAUAGCAUUGUACAUAGCAGGCAACACGCUUGCAUUGAUGUAUUCUUUACUUGUCCAAACAUUGCAUGAAUGAAUUAUCUGUUCCGGUUUA
This is a non-coding RNA of Punica granatum (pomegranate), 1848 nucleotides long. NCBI's taxonomy places the organism in Eukaryota, Viridiplantae, Streptophyta, Magnoliopsida, Myrtales, Lythraceae. The record is from RefSeq and is a predicted model, not a curated record.